Molecule: small nucleolar RNA, 119 nt
Filed under: Echinops telfairi (small Madagascar hedgehog)
Lineage: Eukaryota; Metazoa; Chordata; Mammalia; Afrosoricida; Tenrecidae
Description: Small nucleolar RNA SNORA61 (ENSETEG00000025099.1)
Source: RNAcentral
ACCCCCCAGAUUCCUCACCUCUCAGAUCUAAAUGUUGAUUGGAGUGACUUAAAGAGGAGGAAAAUUCAAAUUGAAGUCGACUUUGAGGCUAAUGAUACAGAAGGUCAUUUCAAACAUAU